GACGAACGCUGGCGGCGUGCUUAACACAUGCAAGUCGAACGGAAAGGCCCUGCUUUUGUGGGGUGCUCGAGUGGCGAACGGGUGAGUAACACGUGAGUAACCUGGCCUUGACUUUGGGAUAACUUCAGGAAACUGGGGCUAAUACCGGAUAGGAGCUCCUGCUGCAUGGUGGGGGUUGGAAAGUUUCGGCGGUUGGGGAUGGACUCGCGGCUUAUCAGCUUGUUGGUGGGGUAGUGGCUUACCAAGGCUUUGACGGGUAGCCGGCCUGAGAGGGUGACCGGCCACAUUGGGACUGAGAUACGGCCCAGACUCCUACGGGAGGCAGCAGUGGGGAAUAUUGCACAAUGGGCGGAAGCCUGAUGCAGCAACGCCGCGUGCAGGAUGACGGCCUUCGGGUUGUAAACCGCUUUCGCCUGUGACGAAGCGUGAGUGACGGUAAUGGGUAAAGAAGCACCGGCUAACUACGUG
Molecule: ribosomal RNA, 468 nt
Filed under: uncultured bacterium
Lineage: Bacteria
Description: partial 16S ribosomal RNA
Rfam family: Bacterial small subunit ribosomal RNA
Source: RNAcentral